CUGAACUGUCGACACGAGUUGUUGCUGGUCCUCAAAUGGGGGCAUGUGCACGCUCUGUUUACACAUCCACUCACACCUGUGCACCUUCUGUAGUUCUAUGGGCUGGGGGACCUGUCCUCCUGCUGUGGUUCUGCAUCUUUACACACACACACUGUAACAAAGUCUCAUGGAAUGCAUCUGCGUUUAACGCAAUACAAUA
This 199-nucleotide unclassified non-coding RNA is filed under the name uncultured Thelephoraceae. RNAcentral's name for it is "sequence contains ITS1". Lineage: Eukaryota; Fungi; Basidiomycota; Agaricomycetes; Thelephorales; Thelephoraceae. The record is from RNAcentral.